This 443-nucleotide ribosomal RNA is filed under the name uncultured bacterium. Its description in RNAcentral is "partial 16S ribosomal RNA". It matches the Rfam family "Bacterial small subunit ribosomal RNA", at positions 338 to 795 of the family's 1533-position model. The record is from RNAcentral.
CCUACGGGAGGCAGCAGUGGGGAAUAUUGGACAAUGGGGGGAACCCUGAUCCAGCGACGCCGCGUGAGUGAAGAAGUAUUUCGGUAUGUAAAGCUCUAUCAGCAGGGAAGAAAGAAAUGACGGUACCUGACUACGAAGCCCCGGCUAACUACGUGCCAGCAGCCGCGGUAAUACGUAGGGGGCAAGCGUUAUCCGGAUUUACUGGGUGUAAAGGGAGCGUAGACGGCGAUGCAAGUCUGAAGUGAAAGGCGGGGGCCCAACCCCCGGACUGCUUUGGAAACUGUAUGGCUGGAGUGCAGGAGAGGAGAGUGGAAUUCCUAGUGUAGCGGUGAAAUGCGUAGAUAUUAGGAGGAACACCAGUGGCGAAGGCGGCUUACUGGACUGUAACUGACGUUGAGGCUCGAAAGCGUGGGGAGCAAACAGGAUUAGAUACCCUAGUAGUC